GGACCCCGCCGGCAAGAAGUGCCGCGCGGAAACCGUACCAAAACCGACACAGGUGGGUGGGAUGAGUAUUCCAAGGCGCUCGAGAGAACUCUCGUGAAGGAACUCUGCAAAUUGGCCCCGUAACUUCGGGAUAAGGGGCGCUCACUUUUGGGUGAGCCGCAGCGAAAAGGGUCUAGCGACUGUUUACUAAAAACACAGGUCUGUGCGAAGGCGUGAGCCGCGGUAUACAGACUGACGCCUGCCCGGUGCCGGUAAGUUAAGGGAGGCGGUUAGCCCGUAAGGGUGAAGCUGGCGACCGAAGCUCCGGUAAACGGCGGCCGUAAUUAUGAUGGUCCUAAGGUAGCGAAGUUUCUUGUUGGGUAAGUUUUGAUCUGCAUGAAUGGCGUAACGACUGGACCACUGUCUCCACGAGAGACUCGGUGAAACUGUAGUUGUCGUGAAGAUGCGACAUACCCGCAGCUAGACGGAAAGACCCCGUGAACCUUAACUGCAGCUUGGUAUUGGGUUUAGGCCCGGCAUGCGUAGCGUAGGUGGGAGGCCGUGAACCCCGGUUUUCGGACCGGGGGGAGCCGUCGAUGAAACACCACCCUUGCCGUGCUUGAAUUCUAACCCGGACCGGUGAACCCCGGCCGGGGACCGUGCUAAGUGGGCAGUUUGAUUGGGGCGAUCUCCUCCUAAACGGUAACGGAGGAGCCCAACGGUCCCUUCAGCCCGGUCGGCAAUCGGGCCACGAGCGCAAACGCAGAAGGGGGCUUGACUGCGAGGGCGAUGGCCCGAGCAGGUGCGAAAGCAGGGGUUAGUGAUCCGGCGGUCCCGAAUGGAAGGGCCGACGCUCAACAGAUAAAAGGUACUCCGGGGAUAACAGGCUUAUCUCCUCUGAGCGUUUAUAGCGGCGAGGAGGUUUGGCACCUCGAUGUCGGCUCAUCACGUCCUGGGGGUGGAGAAGCUCCCAAGGGUUCGGCUGUUCGCCGAUGAAAGUGGUACGUGAGCUGGGUUUAGACCGUCGUGAGACAGGUCGGUCCCUAUCUGCUGCGGGCGGACGAGACUCGCGGGGCUUCCUCCCUAGUACGAGAGGACUGGGAGGGACGCACCCCUGGUGUGCCGGUUGUCGCGCUAGCGGCACCGCCGGGUAGCCACGUGCGGAACGGAUAAACGCUGAAGGCAUAUAAGCGUGAAACUCCCCCCUAGAUCAGGUCUCGGUCCGUAAGGUGAAGGCUCCCGGGAGACGACCGGGUCGAUAGGCCGGACGUACAAGCGCGGCGACGCGCUCAGCCGACCGGUACUAACAGCCGACCGUUUGGCCCC
RNAcentral lists this ribosomal RNA (1305 nucleotides) under metagenome. Its description in RNAcentral is "bacterial LSU rRNA". It matches the Rfam family "Bacterial large subunit ribosomal RNA", at positions 1597 to 2925 of the family's 2925-position model. The record is from RNAcentral.